CCUACGGGUUGCUGCAGUGGGGAAUAUUGGACAAUGGGCGGAAGCCUGAUCCAGCAAUACCGCGUGUGUGAAGAAGGCUGAGGGUUGUAAAGCACUUUCAAUAGGAAGGAAUACCUAUCCAUUAAUACUGGGUAGACUGACAUUACCUAUACAAGAAGCACCGGCUAACUCCGUGCCAGCAGCCGCGGUAAUACGGAGGGUGCAAGCAUUAAUCGGAAUUACUGGGCAUAAAGCGUGCGAAGGCGGAUCGGAAAGCCCUGGGCUUAACCUGGGAAUGGCAUUUGAUACUGGCGAGCUAGAGUUGAGUAGAGGGGAGUGGAAUUUCAGGUGUAGCGGUGAAAUGCGUAGAGAUCUGAAGGAACACCAGUGGCGAAGGCGACUCCCUGGACUCAAACUGACGCUGAGGUACGAAAGCGUGGGUAGCAAACAGGAUUAGAUACCCGUGUAGUC
This 450-nucleotide ribosomal RNA is filed under the name uncultured bacterium. Its description in RNAcentral is "partial 16S ribosomal RNA". It matches the Rfam family "Bacterial small subunit ribosomal RNA", at positions 338 to 795 of the family's 1533-position model. The record is from RNAcentral.